UUAUUAAUUUUUGAUAUCAUGUCUAUAUAUACAUAUAUUGAUUGACUUAUACUUUUAGAAAUUGUUUCAUGGUUUGCCCAAACUAUAAUAUAUCUUUGCCUAUGUCAUAAUCAUGAAAUACACAAGUUUAUGCAUAAAAUUUUGAUUUAAAAUAAUUUGUGAGAAGUUAUGAAUCCUUGAGCACAAUGAAAAUAUUGUUUGCAUGAUAUACAUCUAUAUGAUACAUAAGAUUAUUUCAUUAUUCUGCUCUUUCAUGUAAAUUACUUGAGAAUAAUGAAGAGAGAGAGAGAUAAAGAAAAGAAAAUGGAUAUUACUCAAGAGAUAAAAAAUCUAAGCAAAAGCAAGUACUCCAAUCUUAAGGAAAAGCAAAACAAGCAUAAUAUACUCGGCAUAUUUGGAAGUGAUAAAAUCCAUAAUUAAUUACACUUAAACAGGGAGAGUUUGAAGUGAACAUUUUAACCUUUCUAUAUUGCUCAUCAUAGGGAUGGUGCCAAUGGGGAGGCUAGUGGUAGUACCCGGCACUAUUUGACCCAAAUAUUCGGUGUAGGGCAUAUUAGGGACGGCACAAGAGGGAGGCUAGUGGUAGUACCUCGUGCCCCUUCCCAACUCCACCGGAUAGGGAGCAAAUAGAGUAUAGAGCAUAAGAAAGUAAAAAUGAAAGACAAAGUUAAUAAAAGUAUAUAAGAAGAAUCAAGUCAAUUUUUUAAACACUUGAAAACAUACUUUAAGGAUGAAAUCAGUGCAAGAUUAUAUAUAAAUAGGG
Molecule: long non-coding RNA, 763 nt
Filed under: Phoenix dactylifera (date palm)
Lineage: Eukaryota; Viridiplantae; Streptophyta; Magnoliopsida; Arecales; Arecaceae
Description: long non-coding RNA (PDAC_LNC015849)
Source: RNAcentral